Molecule: ribosomal RNA, 487 nt
Filed under: Candidatus Phytoplasma prunorum
Lineage: Bacteria; Bacillati; Mycoplasmatota; Mollicutes; Acholeplasmatales; Acholeplasmataceae
Description: bacterial SSU rRNA
Rfam family: Bacterial small subunit ribosomal RNA
Source: RNAcentral
CGCUGAGGCACGAAAGCGUGGGGAGCAAACAGGAUUAGAUACCCUGGUAGUCCACGCCGUAAACGAUGAGUACUAAGUGUUGGGUUAAACCAGUGCUGAAGUUAACACAUUAAGUACUCCGCCUGAGUAGUACGUACGCAAGUAUGAAACUUAAAGGAAUUGACGGGACUCCGCACAAGCGGUGGAUCAUGUUGUUUAAUUCGAAGAUACACGAAAAACCUUACCAGGUCUUGACAUACUCUGCAAAGCUAUAGAAAUAUAGUGGAGGUUAUCAGGGAUACAGGUGGUGCAUGGUUGUCGUCAGCUCGUGUCGUGAGAUGUUGGGUUAAGUCCCGCAACGAGCGCAACCCUUAUCACUAGUUACCAUCAUUUAGUUGGGCACUUUAGUGAGACUGCCAAUGAUAAAUUGGAGGAAGGUGGGGAUUACGUCAAAUCAUCAUGCCCCUUAUGACCUGGGCUACAAACGUGAUACAAUGGCUGUUACAAA